AGAUUAAGAAACUCAAGAAGAAACUUCUAAUUUAAUUCUUAAGCGGAGAAUCACCGUUUUUAGUCUU
RNAcentral lists this transfer RNA (67 nucleotides) under Curculionoidea sp. 1 KM-2017. RNAcentral describes it as "tRNA-Ser". The record is from RNAcentral. Lineage: Eukaryota; Metazoa; Arthropoda; Insecta; Coleoptera.